CAAAAUCCAAAAUGGCAACCAAGUGUGUAAGUGCAACAAACUUAGUCUCAACUUUAAAAUUAGUGCGAGUUGGGAAAUGUAUUAACUCAAGCAUGAUGUACAAACUUGAAACGACUUAAAUAUUUAUUCACCAUCACAUAAAAACAGUAAUUAAAUAUAGAUAACAUGUGUAAAUAAAGGGAGAACCACCUUUCUAGCAGUAGCUUUAGAGUAAGACCAAACACCAUCCUCCUACUUGUAAAUCUGCUCGAUUGUCUACUUUGUUCUACACUCGUCAUUUCACCGUCUCAGGCCAUCCAUUGAAUUGGCCACCCAGCCUUGGCAUACAAGAGUAUGUCUCAACCUGUUAACAAAUACCACUAAAACUAAGCAAGACAAGAAAAAAGUUUUCAAAAAAUUACCUAACUUUUAGGUCUUCAUGUGACCUUUAAGUUUUUUUGUCUUCUCCUUCAACUCUUUGACAGAUUGCUGAAAUUAUGUGUUUCUGCAAUGUGUACCAGAACAUGAAAGAUUCAUUACGAAAAUAAAUAUCAUGAAUACAAACCAUGAAGAAAUACAAAAAGCCUCUUCAUUAAGCUGAAAAUGAGUAGACAACAAAAAAGAUAAUACAAAGAAGCCCUAGGAUCAGCUAGUGCACGUGGACAUCUCAUCUAGGUUGACACCCACUUAGCAUUCUCACCAUAUCGAGACUUAAACCAAAAGACUAAACCAACGACAAGAUUUAGAAUAGAUCAUACAAACUGCCCAAUAACUAUACAACAUAGAUUUAAGACCACUAGAAAUCCAAAAGAAAUAAAAUAAGAGUGCAGUAGUGGACUAAGAAUUAAAAAUGAAAGUCGGCCAAUUAUGACUUAUAUCUUGUAUGGAGAAAUCUUUGAAGUUUUUUGAAAGAGAGCAUCAAGUAGAAGCAUUGAUUCUAGCCAUUUCGACUCGAGUUGUCCAAGAGGAAGCUUUAUUUUGAAAUGUUAGUUGAUUAUGUUAAAACCAAAUUUCUGGUAAAAUGGCCUUUACUGCAUUUAACCAAAUCAAUCUUGGUUUCUUCUUGAGAAUGGGACAUGAAAUAAGCUGGACCACGUUCUCCUAAAUCUAUAGUCGAAAACCCAAUUCAAAUGAAGAUAGCCAAGUAAGCCAAACCAACACUUCUUUGCAUGUAAGCAGGAGAAGAAAAUAUGAUGUAAAUCUUCUAAAGCAUGCAAACACAAGGGACAAACAUGAGGAGAUAAACUGAGAAAGGGAGGUUUCAUUUGCAAAACUUCUGCACAGUUCAUAGUCCAUUUCGCAUUCUCCAAAGCGUGAUAUUCACUCUGUUGGUGAUAUAUAAUUAAAUUUGCCUUCAACCACAAGCUUAAGCUUUUGGAUGAAUUGGUGGUUUAAUAUGGUAUCAGAGCAGGUGCUCCAGGGAGGUCAUGUGUUCAAGCCCCUGCAUUGUCGUUUCCUCCCCAAUUAAAAUCAAUUUCCACUUGUUGGGCCUUUCAAAUAUUUCAAACCCAAAAGUGAGGUAAAAUUUAUUCCACUUGUUGGGCCUUUCAGAUAUUUCAAGCCCACAAGUGAGGGGGAGUGUUGGUGAUAUAUAAUUAAAUUUGCCUUCAACCACAAGCUUAAGCUUUUGGAUGAAUUGGUGGUUUAAUACACUCUUCUAGGGCUUUUUGUCUUCCAAAUUGUCGAGUACUUUGUUUUCAAGACUGUGUUAGAACCUGUUUUCUGUAAAUGUUUGGCUGAUUAAUAAAUUAGUAGAACACACUAUUUGGUGUUCUAUCAUUUUGGUAUCGGAGAAAUCGAAUCUGUGAAGUUCUAUUAUCAUGGCUCAAAAGCGAAUUGAGGAAAAGUUGGAAAUGGUAGAUCAAGAAAUAUCCGGCAUUCGAGCAGAAUUACAUGAUCUGCCAACAAUCAAGGAAAACAUGUCAUCUUUGGCGAAGAGUAUUGAGAGGUUAGGAGUACAGGCUGAGAAGCAACAACAGCAACCAGAAACACUGUUGAAAUAUAUUGAAGGAAUGAUCAAAGGGAAGACAACGAUGGAAGAAGUACUAGAAGGAUCAUCAAGUGAAGUUGACAGCAUGGUUGAUGUCAGUUAUUGGACGAUGAUGGGAGGAAAAUCUGAGGAAAAACAUACCAAGUUGGAGGGUGAAGAUUCUGCGGGUGACCGAAGCAAAUUUAAAAAUAUUGAAAUGCUAGUUUUUGUGGGAAAUGAUCCUGAUUCUUGGUUGUUUAGGGCUGAGAGAUACUUUCAGAUACACAAACUGAGUGAGUCAGAGAAAAUGACUGUGUCCAUUAUUAGUUUUGAUGGAGCAGCUUUGGAUUGGUAUAAAUCUCAUGAAGAUCGUGAACCGUUUGUUAAUUGGGACGAUUUAAAGAAGAGACUUAUUGUUUGAUUUCGAUCGAGUCGUGAGGGAUCAAUUCUGGGAAGAUUUUUAAAGAUCAAGCAAGAAAUUACAGUGGAAGAAUAUUGGAAUUUAUUUGAUAAAUCAGUAGCACCAUUGCCUUUUCUACAAAAGGCUGUCUUAGAAGAAACAUUUAUGAAUGGUUUGAAACCAUGGAUUAAGGCAGACAUGGAAUGUUGGGAACCUAUGGGCUUUGCUCAAAUGAUGAAGUUGGCCCAAAAGAUUGAGAACCGAGAAGUGAUAAGGGAGAAUCAAGUUUCAAACGUGCAGCGGAUGGAAAAUUCCAGGUUUCUGCUUCUUUUAAACCUCAAAUUCCUGUGAUUUCUAAUGAUAAUAAGUCAGGAGGGAUUGUUCCAAUGCGGAUGAUUACACUUCGAGGAGUGGCUGGUGAACCUAAUCGACGAGAAGGACCACUAAAACGACUUUCUGAUGCUGAAUUUCAGGCUAGACGUGAGAAAGGUCUCUGUUUUCGUUGUGAGGAAUGAUUUUUUGUGGGCCAUAAGUGUAAAGUGAAAGAUCAUAAGGAACUUAGAGUUUUAGUUGUUGGGGCAAAUGGGGAAGAACUAGAAGUAGUUGAAGAAGAGGAUUCAAAAGUGGAAACUGAAAUACAGGAGACUGAAGUUGUUAAACCAGAAGAACCCGUGAUCGAAUUAUCAAUAAAUUCGGUGGUGGGAUUAACAAACCCUGGAACUAUGAAAAUUAAAGGUAUGAUUAGAGAAAGGUCAGUAGUAGUAUCGAUAGAUUGCGGCGCGACCAAUAAUUUUAUAUCUGAAAAGUUAGUAACUCAAUUGUUGUUGCAGUUGCAGGAAACUUCUGAUUAUGGGGUUAUUUUGGGGUCUGAAUCUGCUGUAAAAGGGAAGGGAAUUUGUAAACAAGUGGAACUGCUAUUGGGUGAAUGGAAGGUUGUGGAUAAUUUUCUGCCAUUGGAAUUGGGGGGGAGUGGAUGUCAUUCUUGGUAUGCAAUGGCUACAUACAUUAGGAGUAACCGAAGUAGAUUGGUGAAAACUUACUUUGACAUUCAUACAAAAUGGGAAGAAGGUUGUAUUAAGGGGAGAUCCGAGUCAUACGAAGGCUAGGGUGAGUUUGAAGCACAUGAUGAAGACAUGGACAGAACUUGAUCAGGGAUUUCUGAUUGAGUGUAGAUCUUUGGAAGGUGGAAUGGCAUUUGCAGCGAUGUAUGGGGUUGAUGAAGUGCCUACCACUCAUGAGUCUAUUCCAGCCGUGUUAGCUAAGAAUGAAGAUGUUUUUGAUUGGCCUGGAGAGUUGCCACCACAAUGUACCAUUGAACAUCAUAUACAUCUUAAGAAGGGGACUAAUCCAGUCAAUGUUCGGCCUUAUAGAUAUGCAUACCAGCAAAAGGAGGAGAUGGAAAGAUUGGUUGAUGAAAUGAUGGCAUUUGGCAUAAAAACCUAGUACUAGUCCAUAUUCGAGCCCGGUCUUGUUGGUGAAAAAAAAUGGUAGUUGACGGUUUUGUGUAGAUUACCGUGCGUUGAAUAGUGUGACCGUUCCAGACAAGUUUCCUAUUCCAGUAGUAGAGGAAUUGUUUGAUGAACUUAAUGGGGCUAAUAUAUUUUCGAAGAUUGAUCUCAAGGCGGGAUAUCAUCAAAUUAGAAUGUGUAAAAAGGAUGUGAAGAAAACAGCUUUUAGAACUCACGAGGGGCAUUAUGAGUUUCUUGUCAUGCCUUUUGGGCUCACCAAUGCACCAUCAACGUUUCAAGCUUUGAUGAAUAGUAUCUUUAAACCUUACCUACGCAGGUUUUCUUAGUCUUUUUUGAUGAUAUAUUAAUUUACAGCAGAAGUUUGGAUGAAAAUCUUCAACAUUUAGAAUGGGUGUUAGAGGUGCUGCGAGAGAAUAAAUUAUAUGCUAAUAUGCAGCACAAGUGUGGGUUUGCCAAAAUGAAAGUGGAGUAUCUUGGCCAUAUAAUUUCGGGCAAGGGUGUAGAGGUUGAUCCCGAGAAAAUUAGAUCUAUCAAAGAAUGGCCCGUGCCCACUAAUGUCCGUGAAGUUCGUGGAUUUCUUGGGUUGACAGGAUAUUAUCGAAGAUUUGUAAUGAAUUAUGGAAGUGUGGCUGCUCCUUUGACUCAAUUAUUGAAGAAAGGAGCAUAUGAAUGGACUGUUGCAGCUGCUGAAGCUUUUGAGAAUUUAAAGAUGGCUACGAUGACUCUCCCAAUCUUAGCACUGCCAGAUUUUUCCUUACCAUUUGAAAUAGAGACCGAUGCUUCUGGAUACGGGGUAGGUGCUGUCUUAAUUCAAAAUCAUCGGCCAAUUGCUUAUUUUAGCCAGACAUUAGCUAUGAGGGAUCGUGCUAAACCAGUUUAUGAACGGGAAUUAAUGGCUGUAGUUUUGGCUGUGCAACGCUGUAGACCUUAUCUUUUGGGCAGGAGGUUUGUAGUGAAAACUGAUCAACGAUCAUUGAAACUUUUAUUGGAACAAAGGGUUAUCCAACCUCAACAUCAGAGGUGGAUUGCUAAGCUUCUUGGCUACAAUUUUGAUGUCGUGUAUAAACCGGGACUAGAAAACAAAGCAGCAGAUGCCUUGUCUCGUGUCCCUCCUACUGCCCAACUUAAUCAACUUACUGUUGAGAUCAGUUAAAUUGGCAGUCCCCAACACUGAAGUUGACCCUAAAUUAGUCCCAGAAAUUAAUGGGAUGGAUCUGAAUGUCUUGUUCAAUGAUGAAGAUAUUCUCCCUAUUAAAAUUCCCCUGGAUUUGCCUAAAGAUUUAGUGUCUAUAGUCGGUGAUUGUGGAAUCAUUCUGGCUUAAAUUAGAUGUGCAACUGCCUUUUCCUCCUCCCAGUCAUUAUUAAGGUUGUCUCCUGGAACACUAAGGGUUUGAACGACUCCUCUAAACGUGCAGCACUUAAAAAAUUCAUCAACAAUUGUAGUCAUGAUUCAAGAAUCUAAGAAGGAUACCUUGAACUCGGCUUUUAUAAAAUCAUUGUGGAGUUCUAAGGAUAUUGGCUGGGAUUAUGUGGCUUCUGUUGGAUCUUCUGGGGGAAUUCUUACCAUGUGGGACAGCAGUAAAAUAUCUGUAACAGAGGUCAUUAAAAGACGCUUCUCUUUGUCAAUCAAAUGCCUCACUUUGUGCAAAAAGGUUUGUUGGAUCACAAAUGUCUAUGGCCCUUGUGGUUGCAGAGAAAGGAAAUUGGUUUGGCCCGAAUUGUCUUCCUUGGCUGAUUGUUCGGCCGUGGCCUGGUGCAUAGGUGAGGAUCUUAAUAUCACUCGUUGGGCCCGGGAAAGAUUUCCUUUUGGCAGAAGUACUAGAGGAAUGUCAUUAUUCAAUAAGUUUAUUAACAUGGUUUCUCUCAUGGAAAUUCCAUUGCAAAAUGGAAGGUUCACUUGGUCUAGAGACGGUAAUUCUCCUUGAAGAUCAUUAUUAGACAGAUUCUUCAUAAAUCAGAUGUGGGAUGUUUGUUUUGAAAAUUCUCGGGUUUCUCGAAAAGCACGCAUCUUCUCGGAUCACUUUCCUUUAUUCUUGGAGGCUGGUUCUUUUCUUUGGGGUCCCUCUCCUUUUCGGUUUUGUAACAGCUGGUUGGUGUCCAGUGAUUCUAAUCAGAUUAUUGUUGAAACAGUGAGCAACUCUAACUUCCAGGGAUGGGCUGGUUUCAUUCUUCAUGAGCAGUUGAGAUCAGUUAAAUUGGCAGUAAAAGCUUGGAAUAUUGCUGCGCAAGCUAAGGUAAAAAAAAAAAACAGAGAAAUCCUUGAUGUCAAAAUUAGAAAAAUAUGAUUCUGUGGCUGAGUUGAUUGGAUUAAAUCAAGAAGAGUUGAAUUCUAGAGCUGCUUUGCAAGCGGAAUUACUUAGUAUUUAUCAAAAUGAAGAGCGUAAUUUUAUUCAGAAGAGUAAACUCAAUUGGCUUUCUUUGGGUGAUGAGAAUACGGGCUUCUUCCACCGCUUUCUAAAUGCGAAUAAAAGAAGGAACCUCAUAACUGAAUUAAAAGAUGAUGAUGAGGUUGUCUCGACUUCAUUCCGCGACAUUGAAAGGCUUGUGCUGGAAUUUUUUGAGUCAAUUUAUACCAGAAUUCCGGGGGACAGAUUCAUCCCUAUUAACAGUAAUUGGUCUUGUGUUUCCUCAAUUCAUAAUGAGGCUCUUGUUACCCAAUUUUCAGUGGAGGAGAUCUUUAAGGCAUUAAAGGCACUUGGCAACAAUAAAGCUCCGGGCCCGGAUGGCUUCACAGUGAAGUUCCUAAUCACCCAAUGGUCUAUUUUCAAGGAUAUCUUCAAAUCACUAAUGUCUGAUUUCCACAGAAAUGGAAGAUUAAAUGCUUGCAUCCAAGAAAACUUCAUUUGUUUAGUGCAGAAAAAAGAGAAUGUGACUCUAGUCAAGGAUUUCCGUCCAAUCAGCCUUACUACGUUAGCAUACAAGGUCGUUGCAAAGGUUUUAUCUGAACGUCUAAAACAAGUUAUGGAUGCAAUUAUAAGCCCCACUCAAAGCGCCUUUAUUGAAGGUAGGCAAAUUCUUGACCCAAUAUUAAUUGCUAACGAGGCCGUGGAAGAUUAUAGGGCAAAACGAAAAAGAAAAAAGAUGGAUUUUAAAACUUGACUUGGAAAAAGCCUUUGAUAGGGUGAAUUGGAACUUUUUAGAAAAAAAUUUAUCUUUGAAAAAGUUUAGUUCCAAAUGGAUAUCAUGGAUAAUGGGCUGCCUAAAAAAUCCAAAGUAUUCAGUCUUCAUCAAUGGUAAGCCUAGAGGCUGGAUAACAGCAUCUAGAGGUAUCCGCCAAGGGGACCCCCUCUCCCCCUUUUUAUUUCUCCUAGUAAGUGAGGUUUUAGGAGAAAUCAUAAACAAGCUUCAUAUUAACAGCCAGUUUGAAGGUUUCCUUGUUGGCAAAGACUUGAUCCACCUCCCUUUGCUUCAAUUUGUCGAUGAUACUCUUCUCUUUUGUAAGUAUGAUGUGAAGAUGCUCCUUAAACUUUAAAACGUCAUUAGAUUAUUCGAAUAGUGUUCGGGGCAGAAAGUAAACUGGGAAAAAUCAGCCCUUAGCGGCGUUAAUGUGGGAGAGGAAGAUUUGUUUCAAACAGCAAAUCUGAUAGGGUGCAAGGUAGAAAAGCUUUCGAUUAUAAGGUAUAUUAUACAUGCAAUCAAACAAUCACAACAUACAUACCAUUUACUCAAAACGACCUAAAACAUGCUCAAAACGACCUAAAACGUGCUCAAAACAUGUCUAACUUUCACUGCAACUUUCAAAACGACCUAAAACAGCUUACGUGCAGGUUCGUAACUCAUAACCUACGAAAAAAGUUCAAAUAUUGUGAAAAAAGCACUACAAGACCCAAAAUGGCAACCAAGUGUGUAAGUGCAACAAACUUAGUUCAAACCACCCUAAAACGUGCUCAAAACGUGUCUAGGUAUUACUUGAGUUUUUCAAAACGACCUAGCAAAUCCUAAGGGUAAGUUCGUAACUCAUAAUCUACCAAAAAGGUUGAAAAAAGCAUUUCAAGACCAAAAGUGACAACCAUGUGUGUAAGAGCAACAAACUCAAUCUAACCUAAAAUGUAUUCAAAACGUGUGUAAGUAUCACUUUAAUUUUCAAAACGACCAAGCAAUGCUUAAGUGUAAGUUUGUAACUCACAACCUACCAAAAUUUCAAAAAGUGUGAAAAAAGUACUUCAAGACCCAACAUGUCAAUCAAAUGUGUUUAAAACUUAGUGUCAAACCAACCUAAAACGAGUUUAAAACGUGUCUAAGUAUCACUUGAACUUUCAAAACGACCUAAAACAGCUUACGUGUAGUUUUGUAACUCAUAACCUACGAAAAAAGUAUAAAUAGAGUGAAAAAAGCACUACAAGACCCAAAAUAGCUACCAAGUGUGUAAGUGCAACAAACUUAGUUCAAACCAACCUAAAACAUGCUCAAAACGUGUCUAGGUAUUACUUGAGGUUUCAAAACGACCUAGCAAAUCCUAAGUGUAAGUUAGUAACUCAUAAUCUACCAAAAAGGUUGAAAAAAGCAUUUCAAGACCAAAAAUGACAACCAAGUGCAACAAGCUGAAUCUAACCUAAAAUGUAUUCAAAACGUGUGUAAGUAUCACUUGAAUUUUCAAAACGACCAAGCAAUGCUUCAGUGUAUGUUUGUAACUCACAACCUACCAAAAUUUCAAAAAGUAUGAAAAAAGUACUUCAAGACCCAACAUGUCAAUCAAAUGUGUGUAAAACUUAGUUUGAAACCAACAUAAAACGAGUUCAAAACGUGUCUAAGUUUCACUUGAACUUUCAAAACGACCUAACAAAUAUUCAAUACAAGUUCAUAAGUCAUAACCUAGCAAAAAGUUCAAAAUUUUUGAAAAUGACACUCCAAAACCCAAAAUGUCAAUUGUGUAAGUGCAACGAACUUAGUUCUAUACAAACCUAACAAUUAUUCAAAACACGUAUAAGUUUUCGAACAAACUAACAACGCUUAAGUGUAAGUUUAUAACUCAUAACUUACCAAAAAUUUCAAAAAGUGUGAAAAAAAAUCUUUCAAGACUCAAAAUGGCAACCAUGGCUGUAUGUAAAACUAACUUAGUUUGUAACAACCUAAAAGGUAUUCAAAAAAUGUUUUAAGUAUCACUCGAACUUUAAAAACGACCUAAUAAUGCUUUUAGUGUUACUUCAUUAACUCAUAACCUACCAAAAAGUUCAAAAAAUGUAGAAAAAGCACUCCAAAAUCCAAAAUGGCAACCAAGUGUGUAAGUGCAACAAACUUAGUCUCAACUUUAAAAUUAGUGCGAGUUGGGAAAUGUAUUAACUCAACCAUGAUGUACAAACUUGAAACGACUUAAAUAUUUAUUCACCAUCACAUAAAAACAGUAAUUAAAUAUAGAUAACAUGUGUAAAUAAAGGGAGAAUCACCUUUCUAGCAAUAGCUUUAGAGUAAGACC
RNAcentral lists this long non-coding RNA (9230 nucleotides) under Cucumis sativus (cucumber). Its description in RNAcentral is "long non-coding RNA (CSAT_LNC001948)". The record is from RNAcentral. Lineage: Eukaryota; Viridiplantae; Streptophyta; Magnoliopsida; Cucurbitales; Cucurbitaceae.